UCAGAUUAAAUAACUAUUUCUAUUAGUUUCUUAUUAAUUGAACACAAGUCUCAAAUAACAAGAGUGAUAUUUUCCAAGGAAUUAGUACAAAGAAUAAACCAUUUCAAUUAACUUACCCACAGAAUCUUGAUCAUUCUUGGUACUCUACAUUUUCCUUUUCCUUUAGUUAAAUUUAAUUUGGCCAAAAAUAGAACAUUAAGUGGACAUACUAACAAUGAGCAACAGGAGAGUUCCUUUUACAAUAAAAAUAAUUUCUAAAUUUUACCCAAAAUUGUUUAUGAGAUACUCCCAAUUUAUUGGCAAAGUAGACUCAACUCACAUUUUUGCUGAAUCGAUUCUUCAUUAAUUAUAUAAUACUCCAAAAGUAAAUAUGUAAAAAUACAGUGUGUGCAUAUCAAGUUUACAUGCAUGUAGAAUGUCCGCAGUUAUACUGAAUUUACUAUAAACAAUAUUCUCAGCAGUGUCUUUUUUCUUGCUAUCAUCAAAAGAUGAAAUAUGAUUUCUAAGUUUUGUAACUUUACUUGUAGAUAUCUUGUCUCUAAGAUGUUAACAUGGACCAUUUAAAGAUACUGUAUUUAAAAUUAAAAAUGUUUGCAAAUGUUUUAUUGUAAUAUUUUUGACCAAGGUGUGACUCCACAGAUUUUUAAAGCUAUGAGUCCAUCAUAGAAGUCAACAAAUCUGGAAGCAAUUCCAUUCUUGCUCCGCAGAAAGCACUUUCAGGGGCUGUAGCUUCUUGCUCAGGUCUGCUGUUUGUUUGUUUUGUUCAGAUGGCAGUGGUGGCGGCAGUGGCGGUGGUGGUAACGCCUCCCAAGGGAAGGGGAACAGCCGAAAAACACCCAAACGCUGACCUGAAAUUUGAAAAUGACAGGAAAGGGUUGCUUGGGGCCUGUGUGGACAUUACACAAUAACCUUUUGUGAUUUACAUUUCAUCACGAUCUAACAUUUGUAGCCAGAUUCCUCAAAAGUUAUUUGAGAGUUCAUUUAAGAUUGCCAACUGCGAUCACAAUACAGCAAUUAGGCAGAAUUAAAGUUAAAAUGGAGAGAAAAUGAAGCAAGCAAUAAAAUACAAUGCGCACUGCCACCCCACCCCCACUGCGCAUUCUCCUGGAAGAAAAGGAGCCUUGAUAAUGCAUCAUCUUCCAAAAGCAACUGUAACAGGGCAGGUUCUGCUCUGCCUCCCCCUAACCCAUGUGCUCAGCAUUUCCAUCUUUGCUUUUCCUCUUCCAUUUCCUGGAGGAGCGGAGGUAAAGGCGAAGGCUGCCCCACGGAGCAAGCCACAAUCGGGAGCCACGUGGGUCACUUAAAAUGCCCCAAAAGCCACAUUUUUAAAAAGUGGAAGAAGCAAGUGAAAUUAACUUCAAAAAUGUGUUUAUUUUACCCCAUAUAUCCGAAAUACAGUCAUUUCAGCAUGAAAAGAAGAUUUUUAAAUGAUCGGUGGGGUAGUGUAUGUGCUUUCUUUCCCAUCACAUUUUGAACAGCUGGUGUCUUGCAUGCUCAUUGCACACCUCCACGUGGACUGGCCAUGUCUAAAUGCUCAGGGGCCGCAGGGCACAGAGUGUGGGUGGGCGGCCAGGGAGAACACGCUGGGAGAAAGAACAAACGUGGAAGCACGAGAAACAGUGGUAACGCAGGCCCCUCUGGCAAGCUCAGAAGGACCUGCUCUGAAAGCCCAGGGGAAAGGGUCAAGAAACAACCCACACUGUCCUCCACAGACAUCACUUUACCGCUGAUGUGUUGAAUUUUGUAAAGAUCAGCUCACUCAUCCUUGUGUGUGUAGCCAACAGAGUAUUCUUUCCAGAGUGUGGCUUUCCUGCCAUGAGGAGCCGGGGGUCACUGGCCACCGCCCCCCUCAGCCAGCCUGUGCCGCAGGACCCCAGGAUCCCCAGGCGCCUCUGGGUGUUUGUACGAACGUGAGUGCACACUGCGUGUGUUGGGUGGGGCUGUGAGUGUUAGGGUGCGUGAGAAUGUGGUGCAGCGGGGAGCAAGGUAGGCGCAUCCAGGCUCACAGCCCAGGGUUAGGGGCCUGGCCGUCCCGGGAGCCGCCUCUGCCAGGAACAGGCCCAUGUGGGCCACUGCAGCUUUCCUGUGGCCAUUCAUUCCACCCAUGGCCAGGGCCUCAUCAGUCCUUCAGCAAACCUAUUUUGGAUACUCCCAAUGAACCAGAAUGCUGUCUACACCCCGGAGAGAUCCCUGCAAAAACUUGGUCUCCCCUGGCUGGACCCACAUCAUCCUGUGUGUGUACCACAGGCAGGAUCUCCAAGCACCUGUGGCUUCCAGCCCUGCCCCAGCUGUGGUGGACCUGGUGGGAGAGGUUGGGCACAUGGACGCGGGAAGACAUGGGAAGACACUCAGACACGUCCAUGAGCAGCAGCAGGGUCCAAGUCCUAAAGUUUUCCAGGGAGAAAAAGGAGUGUUCUAGGUCACCUCCUAAGGGUGACACAUUUAACCAGAUUACUAGGCUGGGCCCAUCCCACCUGCCCUCCCAGCCCCAAACAAGACACACCAACAGGGCCUCCUCUCCAUUUACUUCUGGUUCUCCUUAUGUUUACAAACACUGUAUUUGGUUUCACCCCUUCCAAAUCCUACCCUUCAGUUUGUCAAGAAAUUAGAGGCACCCGAAGAGGCUUUGAGGGGUGCCAGGGGGCCUCUGGCACCAGGGAAGACUUGGCCCUGGGGCGCCUUCCAUCUGCACAUGUGCUUCUCAGCUCAGGGCUGGGAAUGACCUAGAGCCUCUCUUGGUGUUGACUGCCUUCUGGGAAAAACUUCCAGCCCAGGAUGAGGAAGGGAGAGGAUGGAUCUACACGGAAUCCUGAGUAAAGAGGCAGAAGGACAUAUUAACAUAGGUCGGUGGUUGGAGGAGGGAAGCAGACUUUGCCAGCACUGGGCCCUCCCUCGGACCUGGACCUGACCUCGGGGAUGCAGUGGGAUGCAGGGGGAUGCCCUGGGCCCGCCAGCACAGCCUGCCCCUCCUGCCCAUGGUUCUGGAAAAUAAGGUCACCCUGGAAGGUGGGGGUGGGAGCACAAGGCAGGGAGGAGAGGGAGAAGCAUGGUGGCCGCAGCCCUGGGAGCAGCAGUCCCUGCGGCUGGGACCAUGUCUGGUGGUGCUCAAGGAUGGCGAGCUGUUUGUAGCAGCGCUGCUGAGGAGUGCUGCCUGGUAUAACUUGUUUGUUUUGGGGCACAACUACUCUAAUAUGUGUUGUUCUGCGUUCAAUCUAAAGAAAAAAACUUCAAGAACUCUCAGAGCGUUAUCCCUGGCGCAGAAGAUGCUGUCUUUGUUAGAUGCACUCCACCUGUUCCGCUGGCUGCUCUUGGUGAUUUAAACUUGCCAGGAACACUUAGAAAAUGCAAAAAAAGAAAAAAAAAAAAAA
Molecule: long non-coding RNA, 3368 nt
Filed under: Canis lupus familiaris (dog)
Lineage: Eukaryota; Metazoa; Chordata; Mammalia; Carnivora; Canidae
Description: lncRNA (ENSCAFG00000058330.1, ENSCAFG00805019233.1)
Source: RNAcentral